AAGAUAAAAUUGCAAAGUCAAUAUAGUCACUAGCCAUGUGAUUUAUAUAUUCAAAAGAGCUAUUUUUAUAAAAAAAAUUGUGUGAUAAAAAUGUAAAAAAAAAUACUGGAAAAAGAAGAAGAAGAGAGUAUUUCUGUAAAUAACCCAAAUCAAAAAGCAUCUCUUAAAUGUGUAAAAUAUGGCCUCCGCAGGUCAGUAUACAUGUAUUGGCCCAAGGCACUUCGGUUCAUCAAAAACUAGCGUCAGUUUUUCUCGCUUUUACGUAAUAACAAGUGACAAGUGACAAGUGACAGCCUCUGUCGCCCUCUCUACCUCCAACUUCAUCUUUAGCUUCGCAUAAACCAAAAUUGUUAAUUUCAGAUUCAUCAAUGAAUACUCCCUACCCAGAACCCACAUCACCCACCAAAACACGUAUAGGCUGGAUUGGCAUAGGCGUAAUGGGCGCUGCUAUGGCCUCUCGCCUUCUCUCCGCAGGCUACUCUCUCACCAUCUACUCCCGUACUCCAUCCAAAGCCCUUAAAUUGCAGUCCAAAGGCGCAAUCCUCGCUUCUUCUCCACUUGAAGUCGCCAAAAAUAGUGAUAUUGUCUGUACUAUGGUUGGACAUCCAUCAGAUGUUCGAUCAAUUGUCUUAGAGAACCAAGGCAAGAGCAUUCUUGAUGGACUACAUCACGGUGGUGUUAUAAUUGAUUUUACCAGUAGUCAUCCUGCUCUUGCACGGGAAAUAUUUGCAUCUGCACGUGAAAAAGGUUGUUGGGCUGUUGAUUCUCCAGUUUCCGGUGGUGAUAUUGGUGCUAGAGAUGGUAAGUUAGCUAUAUUUGGUGGUGGUGAUGAGAUUGUUAUUAAUUGGUUAUUACCCAUUUUUGAGGUUCUAGGUAAAGUUACUUAUAUGGGUCCACCUGGGCGUGGACAGAGUUGCAAAAUAGCUAAUCAGAUUGUUGUUGGGGCUAAUUUAUUAGGGUUAAGUGAAGGGUUAGUGUUCGCGGAGAAAGUAGGGUUGGAUGUGAAGCAAUGGAUGGAUUCAGUGAGGGGAGGUGCAGCAGGAUCAAUGGUGAUGGAGUUAUUUGGGGAGAGAAUGAUAGGGAGAGACUUUAGGCCAGGUGGAUUUGCUGAAUACAUGGUGAAGGAUAUGGGUAUGGCUGUGGAUGUUGUGGAAGAGAGUGAGGAUGGGAGUGUGCCAGUUUUGCUUGGGGCUGCUUUGUGUAAGCAGUUGUUUGCUGGGAUGGUGGGGAAUGGUGAUGGGCAUCUUGGUACACAAGGUCUUAUAACUGUCAUAGAAAGGCUCAAUGGGAACUGUAGGAGAUGAAGAAUUCCAUUGACGUGUAAGGGGAAGCAACUUUGAACCAUCACCCACUAUAAAUAGACUACACAUACAUCAUUGCAACAAUACUCUCCAUGAAAUAACUAUUCAAUGGUCUUACCUUUUUACCGCUAUCAAUUAGAAGUGGAUUGCAGAGACGAAGAAAAAGCUCUUUCUUUGAAGAGAAUGUGAAGGGAGUGAGCAGUCUUGAAAGGAUUUCAUGAUAAUCUGAUGGCAGAAAUCUCUCCCAAACAGCAUCAGACUCCAUGGCUGAUCGGAAGGAGGUUGAUACCACCGAUGAUCUGCAUCCGUCUACAGGAGAAGUGAAGGAAAGAAUGGUAGAAACAACACCUUCCGGUAACAUGUAGUCGAAACUUGAAACCUGUCUUUGUCUUUCUCUUGCACAUGUCCUGAUCUUAAAUAGAGGUUGUCCAUGUGUUUCUGAAGGGGAAUGAAAUUUGAAAUUUUCUGACUCUACACAUAGUUUAGUAUAUAACCAAAGAACAGAGAGAUGUCAUCAUCAUGUAAUCAUCUUGGUGCCAUUGUGGCAAGAUUUUGACGAAAGCGAAAGAGAAUUGAAGACAGGUCAUCACUUCAUAAUUUUAAGGGGUAAAUUAUCAAGAAAAUAAGGUUUCAUUUUUUUAAAAUUCUUAUUUUUAGUUUUGUAAAAUGAAAAUAUAAAUAUAUUUGGCCAGUUGCAUUUA
Ricinus communis (castor bean) is the source of this 2002-nucleotide RNA transcript. It is a transcript of the gene named probable 3-hydroxyisobutyrate dehydrogenase-like 2, mitochondrial, with no coding region annotated. The transcript is spliced from 3 exons. NCBI's taxonomy places the organism in Eukaryota, Viridiplantae, Streptophyta, Magnoliopsida, Malpighiales, Euphorbiaceae. The record is from RefSeq and is a predicted model, not a curated record.